Molecule: ribosomal RNA, 504 nt
Filed under: uncultured bacterium
Lineage: Bacteria
Description: partial 16S ribosomal RNA
Rfam family: Bacterial small subunit ribosomal RNA
Source: RNAcentral
AUUGAACGCUGGCGGCAGGCCUAACACAUGCAAGUCGAGCGGUAACACAGGGAGCUUGCUCCCGGGUGACGAGCGGCGGACGGGUGAGUAAUGUCUGGGAAACUGCCUGAUGGAGGGGGAUAACUACUGGAAACGGUAGCUAAUACCGCAUAACGUCGCAAGACCAAAGAGGGGGACCUUCGGGCCUCUUGCCAUCAGAUGUGCCCAGAUGGGAUUAGCUAGUAGGUGGGGUAAUGGCUCACCUAGGCGACGAUCCCUAGCUGGUCUGAGAGGAUGACCAGCCACACUGGAACUGAGACACGGUCCAAACUCCUACGGGAGGCAGCAGUGGGGAAUAUUGCACAAUGGGCGCAAGCCUGAUGCAGCCAUGCCGCGUGUAUGAAGAAGGCCUUCGGGUUGUAAAGUACUUUCAGCGGGGAGGAAGGUGUUGAGGUUAAUAACCUCAGCAAUUGACGUUACCCGCAGAAGAAGCACCGGCUAACUCCGUGCCAGCCGCCGCCGUAA